GCCGAAGUGGCGGAAUGGCAGACGCAGGGGACUUAAAAUCCUCCGGCCGCGAGGCCGUGUGGGUUCGACUCCCACCUUCGGCA
This 83-nucleotide transfer RNA is filed under the name Chloroflexota bacterium. RNAcentral's name for it is "Chloroflexi bacterium (anaerobic digester metagenome) tRNA-Leu". It matches the Rfam family "tRNA". From Rfam's summary of the family: Transfer RNA (tRNA) molecules are approximately 80 nucleotides in length. Their secondary structure includes four short double-helical elements and three loops (D, anti-codon, and T loops). Further hydrogen bonds mediate the characteristic L-shaped molecular structure. tRNAs have two regions of fundamental functional importance: the anti-codon, which is responsible for specific mRNA codon recognition, and the 3' end, to which the tRNAs corresponding amino acid is attached (by aminoacyl-tRNA synthetases). tRNAs cope with the degeneracy of the genetic code in two manners: having more than one tRNA (with a specific anti-codon) for a particular amino acid; and 'wobble' base-pairing, i.e. permitting non-standard base-pairing at the 3rd anti-codon position. Lineage: Bacteria; Bacillati; Chloroflexota. The record is from RNAcentral.